RNAcentral lists this ribosomal RNA (253 nucleotides) under uncultured bacterium. RNAcentral's name for it is "partial 16S ribosomal RNA". It matches the Rfam family "Bacterial small subunit ribosomal RNA", at positions 524 to 776 of the family's 1533-position model. The record is from RNAcentral.
UACGUAGGGCGCAAGCGUUAUCCGGAAUUAUUGGGCGUAAAGAGCUCGUAGGCGGUUUGGCGCGUCUGCCGUGAAAGUCCGGGGCUCAACUCCGGAUCUGCGGUGGGUACGGGCAGUCUAGAGUGAUGUAGGGGAGGCUGGAAUUCCUGGUGUAGCGGUGAAAUGCGCAGAUAUCAGGAGGAACACCGAUGGCGAAGGCAGGUCUCUGGGCAUUAACUGACGCUGAGGAGCGAAAGCAUGGGGAGCGAACAGG